Haliotis rubra (blacklip abalone) is the source of this 1359-nucleotide long non-coding RNA. RefSeq lists it as uncharacterized. The record is from RefSeq and is a predicted model, not a curated record. The transcript has 2 exons. NCBI's taxonomy places the organism in Eukaryota, Metazoa, Mollusca, Gastropoda, Lepetellida, Haliotidae.
GCUAUGAGACGAACGCCAGACCAGCAGGUCUAACAACCAGCGAGGUCGUCAGUGGCUCGCCGGUCAACAGAGAACCUACGUGACCAGAUAAGACCAGUGGACAAAGGGUGACCGUUUACCGGUCUUAAACCUUUUGACCGACACAUGUUGUUGUGGUCAUCAUAUAUAAGCCUCAGUUCCCCUAUAGUGUUUCCGUGUACAGAAUGGUUGACGGCUAUUUUGGAGGGGUGUCCACGGCUAUCCUAGUUGCCAUCUUCAUGCUAGGAUGUAUGUUCUGGGGGCUACUGAGACGAUGCGGUGUUUGGAAGGAUGGUAAAUGGACAAGAAGAGACUGGAGAAACCGCCCAGCUCCACCUGUUCCUCGACACCCAGCAGGAGGUCCAGAAACAAGUCACGUAUAUCAACAGGAUGUGCAUUGUGAGUCGUUUCCGGUUGUAACCGGAAAUGGGCAAAAUUUCAACUCUGGGGACAUUUCGAUGACACGAAACCCCGCCGCGUACUACGAUCCCGCAAACUCUGACAAUGUGUUUAUUAUAUCACAAAAUGUACUCCCGCCCCCUCCACCGUAUACAAGGACGGCAGAGCCAGACCCGCCUCCACCGUAUGCUCCGUGAACUUCAUGGACAUGUGCAACGAGUUUCUGUUAAAGUGACACGUCAUUAACUGAAUCGUCCAGUUUUCGACUGAUUGAUCCGAGAGGGGCACCAAGACUAUUUGAUGAACGUGAUCGACUGGAGUCUGGUAUUUUGCAAUUGUGUUCAUAGCUGUGUGUCAGUAUACAGAUAUAAUGUAUUCUGUGCACAUAGUUGUACUUCCAAAUUUUACACUACAUGAAGAAUCAGUAUCUAGCGAUAAAGUGUGACUCCCAGGUAAUUCUGGAGCAUAAUUGGAUUUCAUUACCGAUGCUUUUAAAUGGCGAUAUAUGUCAAGUUAAAGUCGUCACAACAGCUCAUUGUAUGACCUAGUCUGAAACACGUUUCGUUCCUUUGUUACAACUGGGUUGUUUGAUCCAGAUUUGAUUAUUAACAGCGUGACGUGACAUGGAUGGAAUAUUGACUGUAAACAAUACUCACCUGCGAAUUGUUCAACUUGAGUGACAAAAGCGUUUUUUCACACAUACCCAAGGCAGCAUAGUGAUGGCAAAAAGAAUGUCAAUAUUUGUUUUGUGAGACGAUUGUCGAGUAUGUACGUGUACACACUAAACGUGUGACCCAGUCCCGUCUAUUUCACCUAAGUCAUAAACCUGUCUGACCCUUAUCCCUCACAUCGGCAGAAGUAAGCCACUGUGUCUGCCGGGGUGUAGGGUAUUGUUCUUGUUACGAGCUCCGAAUUAACUGGUUGGCGUAUGCCUCUUCCUUG